Molecule: long non-coding RNA, 735 nt
Filed under: Sorghum bicolor (sorghum)
Lineage: Eukaryota; Viridiplantae; Streptophyta; Magnoliopsida; Poales; Poaceae
Description: long non-coding RNA (SBIC_LNC010070)
Source: RNAcentral
CCCUACUCUAAUAAGGCUUUUAUAUCUGGAGCUCAUAGGUGGGAGAUAAAGUAUACAUACUUACAAGACAUUUAUUGUAUAGUCAAACCAUGGAUCCAAAGUAACAAGUCAAUAAGUCAAAUCAAGAUGUGCAUGUGCGGCAAAUGAAUGGUAUAUGAUGAUAAUAAUGGUGAAAGUCUAAUUCUACUUUUGCGCUUUUGAGGGGAUACAUACAUUCCUUGCUCUUUUGAAACUUUUUGAGGAGAAUGAGAUGCUCUAUAUUUUCUUUUUUCUCUCAGGUGGGUAUCUUGUACCCCUAAUUCUACUGUCGGACACUUGUCCAUUUUUACCUCUCGUCUCACUUUUUCUUUUCUUUCGUGGUUCCGAGCACUUGCCCCUUUUUAUUUCCUCAUAUUUUCUCUCUCUUUUUUUUAGAGCACUCAUCUCAUAAAAUAAUAUAGCAAGUGUUAGUAACAAAGAUAUCUUGAGCAUUUAUUUAACAGGGGAAAACAGAAAUAUUUUUGGCUAUUCUCUCCCGGAUUAGGAGUAGAAUAUUUUUGGGUGGUUCUGGAGAUGAAAAUGAGUGGAUAUAUGUGGAUGCGUACUUCCGGAGUAGAAGCAGCAUGUGUGAGUGAACGUGCAAGUGAAUCUUGAUUUUAACCACAUGACAAGCUCCUAAGGGUCUACACAGCUUGACCACACUCAAUGCUCAUAAGCAGUAAAAAGUAAAUGUGUGGCUCAAAGUCUAGCAAGCAA